UUUUGAUAAUCAUGGGCCCAGAGAGGCCCCUAAUACAAUUAUAAUACAGACAAAAUAAUAUGGGGGCAGUAAGAUUUCUUUUGAUGGAGCCCAAAAUCCC
This is a long non-coding RNA of Thalassophryne amazonica, 100 nucleotides long. RefSeq lists it as uncharacterized. The record is from RefSeq and is a predicted model, not a curated record. Lineage: Eukaryota; Metazoa; Chordata; Actinopteri; Batrachoidiformes; Batrachoididae. The transcript has 3 exons.